CAUAUCAUGUUGAAAGCACCGGUUCUCGUCCGAUCACCGAAGUUAAGCAUCAUCGGAUGCGGUCAAAACUUGGGAGGUUGACCACCUGGAAACACCGUGGGC
Molecule: ribosomal RNA, 102 nt
Filed under: Nephila pilipes (giant wood spider)
Lineage: Eukaryota; Metazoa; Arthropoda; Arachnida; Araneae; Nephilidae
Source: RNAcentral